UGGCUCAGAUGGUAAAGCGUCUGCCUGCAAUGCGGGAGACCUGGGUUCGAUUCCUGG
This 57-nucleotide transfer RNA is filed under the name Odocoileus virginianus texanus. It matches the Rfam family "tRNA", at positions 8 to 63 of the family's 71-position model. From Rfam's summary of the family: Transfer RNA (tRNA) molecules are approximately 80 nucleotides in length. Their secondary structure includes four short double-helical elements and three loops (D, anti-codon, and T loops). Further hydrogen bonds mediate the characteristic L-shaped molecular structure. tRNAs have two regions of fundamental functional importance: the anti-codon, which is responsible for specific mRNA codon recognition, and the 3' end, to which the tRNAs corresponding amino acid is attached (by aminoacyl-tRNA synthetases). tRNAs cope with the degeneracy of the genetic code in two manners: having more than one tRNA (with a specific anti-codon) for a particular amino acid; and 'wobble' base-pairing, i.e. permitting non-standard base-pairing at the 3rd anti-codon position. RNAcentral also lists the same sequence under 7 other names. Lineage: Eukaryota; Metazoa; Chordata; Mammalia; Artiodactyla; Cervidae. The record is from Rfam by way of RNAcentral.